Rhincodon typus (whale shark) is the source of this 417-nucleotide long non-coding RNA. RefSeq lists it as uncharacterized. The record is from RefSeq and is a predicted model, not a curated record. Lineage: Eukaryota; Metazoa; Chordata; Chondrichthyes; Orectolobiformes; Rhincodontidae. The transcript has 3 exons.
CAACGGACGGGCGCCGUGAUUUAAUCGGCGUCCCCGGUCUCCUAGCGACCGUUUCGAAUGUUUGGAGUGGAUCGCUCGAGAGCGGCAGCUGGAGAAGCCUGGAGGAGAAGUACAGAACCAAUAGCAGGGUCAGUUAAUGAGACAUCAGAUGGAGCAGCUCCAACAAUUGAUGGAACAGCAGCAGAAACUUAUCAAGUUGCUCUCACUACCUAUGGCCAACCAAGGUUUUACUUUGCCGAUAGGAUUCUCAUCUCCAUUGACUAGUCUCUCUGCAGCCUUGUCUCCAGGGAUCAACGCAACUGCUUUUCAGUUCUCUGGCUCUUCUGCUAAUGAAAAUUCUUCAAACACAAAAGGAUCAUUUUGCAUUCCAUUAGUCCAAAUAAUCCAAUCCCCAGCACAGGAAAGUGUAUCUGCAUC